GUCGACUGCAUGGAGGAAGGACAUAUUUAGAUUGUUGCGACUGUAGUGAAUCUUCUACUUGAAAAAGAAUGGUCAUAUUUGGGGUGCAAGAGAUGCUCGAAGAAGGUUGACAAAAUUGGAAGUAAAUUUCACUGCAAGAAAUGUGAUCGCCUUGAUAGUUCUGCCACUCAUAGGUACAAGCUUCGAGUGCAAGUGAUGGAUCACACUGGCUUUAUAUCUUUGUUGCUUUGGGAUCGUGAAGCAAUAAGUCUCAUUGGGAAGUCUGCUA
This is a long non-coding RNA of Nicotiana attenuata, 268 nucleotides long. RefSeq lists it as uncharacterized. The transcript is spliced from 3 exons. The record is from RefSeq and is a predicted model, not a curated record. NCBI's taxonomy places the organism in Eukaryota, Viridiplantae, Streptophyta, Magnoliopsida, Solanales, Solanaceae.